Molecule: ribosomal RNA, 336 nt
Filed under: Triticum aestivum (bread wheat)
Lineage: Eukaryota; Viridiplantae; Streptophyta; Magnoliopsida; Poales; Poaceae
Description: partial small subunit ribosomal RNA
Source: RNAcentral
AUGCAAGUAUAUAACAAGCCCCCUCCCUCCUGUACAUCCAGCUAUCAUACAGUUCAUCUUGAAGGUCUUAAUCUGUCAUACAAUCCUCUUAGUCUUCAGAUAAGAAAUUUCAUGGAUCUCUCCAUGAAAGUCUUUGUGGUCGUCCUCCUGCUUCUUGUGGCCACUGAGGACCAGGGACCAGUGCAAGUAGCUUUGGCGAGGGACUGCAAGUCACAGAGCUACAAGUUCAAGGGGAUGUGCGUGCGCGAUGACAAUUGUGCAAGUGUUUGCCUGACCGAGGGUUUCCCCAGAGGCAAGUGCAAGGGCUUUGCAUGUUCCUGCCACAAGGAUUGCUAG